GUACACUCCUGCGGGAGGCAGCAGUGGGGAAUUUUGGACAAUGGGCGAAAGCCUGAUCCAGCCAUGCCGCGUGCAGGAUGAAGGCCUUCGGGUUGUAAACUGCUUUUGUACGGAACGAAACGGCCUUUUCUAAUAAAGAGGGCUAAUGACGGUACCGUAAGAAUAAGCACCGGCUAACUACGUGCCAGCAGCCGCGGUAAUACGUAGGGUGCAAGCGUUAAUCGGAAUUACUGGGCGUAAAGCGUGCGCAGGCGGUUAUGUAAGACAGUUGUGAAAUCCCCGGGCUCAACCUGGGAACUGCAUCUGUGACUGCAUAGCUAGAGUACGGUAGAGGGGGAUGGAAUUCCGCGUGUAGCAGUGAAAUGCGUAGAUAUGCGGAGGAACACCGAUGGCGAAGGCAAUCCCCUGGACCUGUACUGACGCUCAUGCACGAAAGCGUGGGGAGCAAACAGGAUUAGAUACCCUUGUAGUCCC
This 474-nucleotide ribosomal RNA is filed under the name uncultured organism. RNAcentral describes it as "partial 16S ribosomal RNA". It matches the Rfam family "Bacterial small subunit ribosomal RNA", at positions 331 to 797 of the family's 1533-position model. The record is from RNAcentral.